RNAcentral lists this transfer RNA (73 nucleotides) under Epichloe festucae Fl1. Its description in RNAcentral is "tRNA-Lys (TTT) (tRNA-Lys-TTT-3-1)". It matches the Rfam family "tRNA". Rfam says of the family: Transfer RNA (tRNA) molecules are approximately 80 nucleotides in length. Their secondary structure includes four short double-helical elements and three loops (D, anti-codon, and T loops). The record is from Rfam by way of RNAcentral. Lineage: Eukaryota; Fungi; Ascomycota; Sordariomycetes; Hypocreales; Clavicipitaceae.
GGAUUAGUAGUUAAGUGGUUAUAAUAUAGCUCUUUUAAUGCUACUAUUAUAGGUUUAAUCCCUAUCUAGUCUA